Molecule: long non-coding RNA, 209 nt
Organism: Etheostoma spectabile (orangethroat darter)
Lineage: Eukaryota; Metazoa; Chordata; Actinopteri; Perciformes; Percidae
Exons: 3
Source: RefSeq, a predicted model, not a curated record
UGCAGGAAGGUUCAAUGCAGUAGGCUGUGAGAAAGUGAAAAUGGAACUUAUGAGCAGAAGAAGUGCUGUUUGGCAGAACUUUCCGUCAAAAGAAGGCCAUUAAAGUCAAGCUACAUGUUCGAUUUGCAAUGCCGCUGUGUCUCGUGGUGGCGAGGAACCUAAACAACACACAACAUCGCCGCGGUUACAACAUCUGGAAUGAAAGAGCU